Molecule: long non-coding RNA, 1062 nt
Organism: Pungitius pungitius (ninespine stickleback)
Lineage: Eukaryota; Metazoa; Chordata; Actinopteri; Perciformes; Gasterosteidae
Exons: 3
Source: RefSeq, a predicted model, not a curated record
AUUUUAAACUGCUAACUACACACCUAUACUUCAGGAACUAUUACUACUAUGUGGAUGUAAGCAAAGUGUUCUCAUUCCCUCUUGGAUGUGUGCAGCCAGUGAGGUACGUUUUGUUUAAGGGCUUGUUAUAUCUGCUCGACGGCACGGACAGCUAACUGGGAUAGCGAGUGGAGCUAGCGGCUGCCGGAUGGAGCAGCCAGUCAGCCAGCUUGCUAACUACACACCGGUGCUUACGUCCACAUGUACUCAACGAAGUGGAAACGCCUUUGACGAUGCCACGUGCAAAGUCAUGCCACCAUCAAUGGGAAUGGCACAUUGGACACGUGGCUUUCAACUCCAGCGAGGUGGCGGCACGGAUCUCUGCAUGUCUGACUGACAUCUCCCAGUGGAUGUCCGCCCAUCACCUGAAGAUCAACCCCGACAAGACUGAACUACUUUUCUUCCCUGGAAAAAACUCGCCCACUCAGGACCUGACCGUUAACUUUGGCGAACACCGUUAACAUCAGGAGAAUACCACCCCUUCUCACUCAGAAGGCGGCGCAGGUACUGAUUCAGGCUCUUGUCAUCUCUCGCCUCGACUACUGUAACUCUCUGCUGGCAGGUCUCCCUGCUACCGCCAUUCGACCACUGCAGCUCAUCCAGAAUGCAGCAGCUCGACUGGUCUUCAACCUUCUGAAAUACUCCCACACCGCUUCUCCCUUCACUUCAUUGGUUACCAGUGGCUGCCCGCAUCCAGUUCAAAGCAUUGGUACUGACGGACCACGCUGUGAAUGGAUCGGGACCAGUCUACAUCCGGGACAUGGUGAAACCCUGCAUCCCAACCCACGCACUCCGAUCUGCAUCUGGCAAGCUGCUUGUUCCUCCCUCACUGAGAGAAAAGCACUCGACGAGAUGGCGACUCUUUGCUGUCCUGCUCCCAGAUGGUGGAAUGAGCUCUCUGAUGACAUCAGGACCGCAGAGAGCCUCUCCAUCUUCCGUCGAAAACUCAAGACACACCUUUUUAGACUCUACCUUGACCAAAACACUAGCAAACCGUAGCACUAACAAAUGGUAGCACUUAAA